AUUGAACGCUGGCGGCAGGCCUAACACAUGCAAGUCGAACGGUAACAGGGAUCAGCUUGCUGAUUCGCUGACGAGUGGCGGACGGGUGAGUAAUGUCUGGGAAACUGCCUGAUGGAGGGGGAUAACUACUGGAAACGGUAACUAAUACCGCAUAACGUCGCAAGACCAAAGAGGGGGACCUUCGGGCCUCUUGCCAUCGGAUGUGCCCAGAUGGGAUUGGCUAGUAGGUGGGGUAACGGCCCACCAAGGCGACGAUCCCUAGCUGGCUUGAGAGGAUGACGGGCCCACAGGGACUGGGGAACCGGCCCAGCCUCCUACGGGAGGCGGAAGGGGGGAAUAUUGGAAAAUGGGGGAAAGCCGGAUGCAGCAAGGCCGGGUGUAUGAAGAGGGCCUUCGGUUUGUAAAGUACGUUCAGCGGGGAGGAAGGGAGUAAAGUGAAUACCCCGGCUAAUUGACGUUACCCGCAGAAGAAGCACCGGCUAACUCCGUG
Molecule: ribosomal RNA, 490 nt
Filed under: uncultured bacterium
Lineage: Bacteria
Description: partial 16S ribosomal RNA
Rfam family: Bacterial small subunit ribosomal RNA
Source: RNAcentral